Solanum pennellii is the source of this 760-nucleotide long non-coding RNA. RefSeq lists it as uncharacterized. Lineage: Eukaryota; Viridiplantae; Streptophyta; Magnoliopsida; Solanales; Solanaceae. The record is from RefSeq and is a predicted model, not a curated record. The transcript has 5 exons.
UCCUCCUAUUUUCAAUUAUUUUGCUUCAGUUCUUUGAUCAGUUUUCAUAUUUUCCAUCAUUCUCCCCAUUUUCGCUCUUGGGAGAAGGAGAAAAAGAGACCUACAAUGGAGGUGUUACAUUUUCGUAGAGGGAGAGCAAAUUGAUGGAAAAUUAGAGGGUCUAUCCAUUGCCUCAAUAAUGUUCGCUCCUCGGAGACAGCUAUAUUUCAAAGAGGUACUGACUGGGUGUCGAAUGAACAGUGUACUGGUCUGUGUCUCAUUUACGGAAAAGAAGAUCUAUGGGUGACACCUAUUUGGGAUUUACAAGUGAAACGUUAGUUCCCUAAAGCUCCAUAUAAUCAUAUUAGUCUCACCGCCCCCAUGAUGAAGUCCCAGAGCGUCCUCCUCCCUUUGACCUUACGGGAGAGACAAUACCACUAUGUUGCCAUUUGAAUUUGAAUGCUUGACCUGCUUGAAAGUGAGAUAAGAAUGAACUUUAUACUCAUAUUAACCAAGUUAUUGCAGGAGGAAAAUCAAACUCAUCUUCAAAGUUUUCGUCAAGUAUUUUGACAUUUUAAGCAGAAGUUAGUUCUUGAUGUAUGUAAAUAGGAUUGAUUGUAAUAAAAUUACAAGAUAUAUUUGAUUUCUUUUCUUUGUUUAUGUUAUAACUUUUAAUGUUGUACAUAUUACUAUAGUUCUGUAGCCUCUUCAGUCCCUUUAUUAUAGAAAGAUUCAGCUAACUGCUUGAAAAUAUAAAAUGUUGGCCCGUGCCUAUCUAGUA